ACCUUCGUCUAGCCCGGUCAAUUAAAGCCGUUAGGACGUGACCUUCUCGAGGUCGAAACCUGGGUUCAAAUCCCAGAGGGAGCA
RNAcentral lists this transfer RNA (84 nucleotides) under Candidatus Aenigmatarchaeota archaeon. RNAcentral describes it as "tRNA-Glu". The record is from RNAcentral. Lineage: Archaea; Nanobdellati; Candidatus Aenigmatarchaeota.